RNAcentral lists this ribosomal RNA (192 nucleotides) under Pedobacter nutrimenti. Lineage: Bacteria; Pseudomonadati; Bacteroidota; Sphingobacteriia; Sphingobacteriales; Sphingobacteriaceae. The record is from RNAcentral.
CUAACUUCUUUCAAUAAUAUGUCAUUUGUUUAGUGUAUAAAAAAGAUCGAAAGAUAGAUAUACUGAAUAUAUAAAAAUAUUUAGGUGCCUAUAUCGGUGGUGUCCACCUCUUCCCAUUCCGAACAGAGAAGUUAAGCCCACCAGAGCCGAUGGUACUGCGGUAACACGUGGGAGAGUAGGUCGGUGCCAAAU